This 576-nucleotide ribosomal RNA is filed under the name Lactiplantibacillus pentosus. Its description in RNAcentral is "bacterial SSU rRNA". It matches the Rfam family "Bacterial small subunit ribosomal RNA", at positions 48 to 587 of the family's 1533-position model. The record is from RNAcentral. Lineage: Bacteria; Bacillati; Bacillota; Bacilli; Lactobacillales; Lactobacillaceae.
CUAAUACAUGAAAGCUCGAACGAACUCUGGUAUUGAUUGGUGCUUGCAUCAUGAUUUACAUUUGAGUGAGUGGCGAACUGGUGAGUAACACGUGGGAAACCUGCCCAGAAGCGGGGGAUAACACCUGGAAACAGAUGCUAAUACCGCAUAACAACUUGGACCGCAUGGUCCGAGUUUGAAAGAUGGCUUCGGCUAUCACUUUUGGAUGGUCCCGCGGCGUAUUAGCUAGAUGGUGGGGUAACGGCUCACCAUGGCAAUGAUACGUAGCCGACCUGAGAGGGUAAUCGGCCACAUUGGGACUGAGACACGGCCCAAACUCCUACGGGAGGCAGCAGUAGGGAAUCUUCCACAAUGGACGAAAGUCUGAUGGAGCAACGCCGCGUGAGUGAAGAAGGGUUUCGGCUCGUAAAACUCUGUUGUUAAAGAAGAACAUAUCUGAGAGUAACUGUUCAGGUAUUGACGGUAUUUAACCAGAAAGCCACGGCUAACUACGUGCCAGCAGCCGCGGUAAUACGUAGGUGGCAAGCGUUGUCCGGAUUUAUUGGGCGUAAAAGCGAGCGCAGGCGGUUUUUUAAU